AUUGAACGCUGGCGGAAUGCUUUACACAUGCAAGUCGAACGGCAGCACGGGGGCAGCCCUGGUGGCGUGUUGCGAACGGGUGAGUAAUACAUCGGUACGUGCCCGGUCGUGGGGAUAACGUAGCGAACGUUACGCUAAUACCGCAUACGAUCUGUGGUUGAAAGCGGGGGACCUUCGAGCCUCGCGCGAUCGGACCGGCCGAUGUCAGAUUAGGUAGUUGGUGGGGUAAAGGCCUACCAAGCCGACGAUCUGUAGCUGGUCUGAGAGGACGACCAGCCACACUGGGACUGAGACACGGCCCAGACUCCUACGGGAGGCAGCAGUGGGGAAUUUUGGACAAUGGGCGCAAGCCUGAUCCAGCAAUUCCGCGUGCAGGACGAAGGCCUUCGGGUUGUAAACUGCUUUUGUACGGAACGAAAAGGCUCUGGCUAAUACCUGGAGCUCAUGACGGUACCGUAAGAAUAAGCACCGGCUAACUACGUG
This 483-nucleotide ribosomal RNA is filed under the name uncultured bacterium. RNAcentral's name for it is "partial 16S ribosomal RNA". It matches the Rfam family "Bacterial small subunit ribosomal RNA", at positions 30 to 507 of the family's 1533-position model. The record is from RNAcentral.